Molecule: long non-coding RNA, 609 nt
Organism: Sitophilus oryzae (rice weevil)
Lineage: Eukaryota; Metazoa; Arthropoda; Insecta; Coleoptera; Curculionidae
Exons: 3
Source: RefSeq, a predicted model, not a curated record
UCGAUUAUGGUAAAUUUAGAAUAUAUUAUGUAUGUAUUUUUUAAAAGGCGUUUUAAAUUUUUGUUAUUAUUCUUUAGACUUCAUACGAAUUUAUUGAGACAGAAGAGUGUAGUAAAGAAAAAUUCACUGAGAAUUUCAUCUCAAAUCAAUCUAUUGAAGAUACUAACGAAGAUUUGGAGCUGGUAAGUGUUAUCACGACAUUCAAAAAAUUGCAAUUUUGUAAAUUAAUGAUGCUUGUUUUAGGGCAAAAAUAGUUCUGUAGAGAGAGAAUGCGUUCAAGAAAAACCAGAUCAUCUCAGUUUGGAUGUUAACGAACCAAAUUUAACAAAAUAUUUGGAUAUAUCUUUCAAUGAUUCUGUUGAAGUAGAUCAAGGUCGCCCGAAAGAAAAAUCAGAUUACUCAACUUUGACCAAUGAAAAUAAUUUGAUUCAACGUUCGAAUGUCGAAGCUACUGAAUCAUUUACUGUUGAACUAGAUAAAGAGUGUCCCACUAAAUUACAGAUAAAACGAAAAUGCUGUACGGAUGUAACAAACAAAAAAUACCGCAUUUCUCCGAUUCACUCAAAUGAAAGUGAUGUUGACCACACCGAUUCUGAUCCGACUUAUUCA